Molecule: non-coding RNA, 111 nt
Organism: Acanthosepion pharaonis
Lineage: Eukaryota; Metazoa; Mollusca; Cephalopoda; Sepiida; Sepiidae
Source: the annotation of a GenBank genome assembly
ACAGCUAUAUCACAUUGAAACACUGGUUCUGGCAUGAUCACUGAAGUUAAGCAACAUCAAGCCUGGUCAGUACUUAGAUUGGUGAAUGCUUGAGAAUACCAAGUGCUGUUA